GAGUUUGAUCCUGGCUCAGAACGAACGCUGGCGGCGUGGAUAAGACAUGCAAGUCGAACGGGAUUAUUUUUGUAGCAAUACAGAAGUAAUUCAGUGGCGAACGGGUGCGUAACACGUGGGCAAUCUGCCGAGAAGUGGGGGAUAGCUCGCCGAAAGGCGAAUUAAUACCGCAUAUGGUGAGGGACGACAUCUUCCUGAAUCCAAAGCCGGGGCAACCUGGCGCUUUUUGAGGAGCCCGCGGCCUAUCAGCUAGUUGGUGAGGUAACGGCCCACCAAGGCUUUGACGGGUAGCUGGUCUGAGAGGACGACCAGUCACACUGGAACUGAGACACGGUCCAGACACCUACGGGUGGCAGCAGUCGAGAAUUUUUCUCAAUGGGGGAAACCCUGAAGGAGCGACGCCGCGUGGAGGAUGAAGGCUUUCGGGUUGUAAACUCCUGUCAUUUGAGAACAAGGUGCGCGUAUUAACUGUGCGCGCAUUGAUAGUAUCAGAAGAGGAAGAGACGGCUAACUCUGUGCCAGCAGCCGCGGUAAUACAGAGGUCUCGAGCGUUGUUCGGAUUCAUUGGGCGUAAAGGGUGCGUAGGUGGCGCCGUAAGUCGGGUGUGAAAUUUCGGAGCUUAACUCCGAAACUGCAUUCGAUACUGCGGUGCUUGAGGACUGGAGAGGAGACUGGAAUUCAUGGUGUAGCAGUGAAAUGCGUAGAGAUCAUGAGGAAGACCAGUGGCGAAGGCGGGUCUCUGGACAGUUCCUGACACUGAGGCACGAAGGCCAGGGGAGCAAACGGGAUUAGAUACCCCGGUAGUCCUGGCAGUAAACGGUGCACGUUUGGUGUGGGAGGAUUCGACCCCUUCUGCGCCGGAGCUAACGCGUUAAAUAUGCCGCCUGGGGAGUACAGUCGCAAGGCUGAAACUCAAAGGAAUUGACGGGGGCCCGCACAAGCGGUGGAGCAUGUGGUUCAAUUCGACGCAACGCGAAAAACCUUACCUAGGCUCGAACGGCUGGUCAACGGAGGUGGAAACAUCUUUACCCCGCAAGGGGGUCCAGUCGAGGUGCUGCAUGGCUGUCGUCAGCUCGUGUCGUGAGAUGUUGGGUUAAGUCCCGCAACGAGCGCAACCCUUGUCCUGUGUUGCCAUCAUUCAGUUGGGAACUCGCAGGAGACCGCCAGGGAUAACCUGGAGGAAGGUGGGGAUGCCGUCAAGUCCUCAUGGCCUUUAUGUCUAGGGCUACACACGUGCUACAAUGGACGGUACAAAGCGCAGCAAACCCGCGAGGGGGAGCCAAUCGCAAAAAACCGUUCUCAGUUCGGAUUGCAGGCUGCAACUCGCCUGCAUGAAGCUGGAAUCGCUAGUAAUGGCAGAUCAGCACGCUGCCGUGAAUACGUUCCCGGGCCUUGCACACAC
This 1402-nucleotide ribosomal RNA is filed under the name uncultured bacterium. RNAcentral describes it as "partial 16S ribosomal RNA". It matches the Rfam family "Bacterial small subunit ribosomal RNA". The record is from RNAcentral.